GGUGACAGCGGGCGAGGUGGGGGUGGAAGAGGUAGGGGGGGGGGGGGGUGCGGAAGUACGGGGCGUAAAGGGCGUGUAGGCGGGGCGGGACGUUGGGGGGGAAGUCCCGAGGGUUGAGUUGGGGGGGCCGGUCGAAACGGCCGGGCUAGGGUGCGGGAGAGGGUAGUGGAAUUCCCGGUGUAGCGGUGAAAGGCGUAGAUAUCGGGAGGAACACCUGCGGCGAAGGCGGCUACCUGGACCGUUACCGACGCUGAGGCGCGAAAGCUAGGGGAGCAAACAGGAUUAGAUACCCUGGUAGUC
RNAcentral lists this ribosomal RNA (300 nucleotides) under uncultured Desulfurococcus sp. RNAcentral describes it as "partial 16S ribosomal RNA". The stretch from base 52 to 300 matches the Rfam family "Bacterial small subunit ribosomal RNA", at positions 547 to 795 of the family's 1533-position model. Lineage: Archaea; Thermoproteati; Thermoproteota; Thermoprotei; Desulfurococcales; Desulfurococcaceae. The record is from RNAcentral.